This 511-nucleotide ribosomal RNA is filed under the name uncultured bacterium. RNAcentral describes it as "partial 16S ribosomal RNA". It matches the Rfam family "Bacterial small subunit ribosomal RNA", at positions 28 to 523 of the family's 1533-position model. The record is from RNAcentral.
GACGAACGCUGGCGGCGUGCCUAAUACAUGCAAGUCGAGCGGAAGUUGAAGAGCUUGCUCUUCAACUUUAGCGGCGGACGGGUGAGUAACACGUGGGCAACCUGCCCUGCAGAUCGGGAUAACUCCGGGAAACCGGUGCUAAUACCGAAUAGUUUUCGCCACCUCCUGGUGGCGUACGGAAAGACGGUUUCGGCUGUCACUGCAGGAUGGGCCCGCGGCGCAUUAGCUAGUUGGUGGGGUAACGGCCCACCAAGGCGACGAUGCGUAGCCGACCUGAGAGGGUGAUCGGCCACACUGGGACUGAGGCACGGCCCAGACUCCUACGGGAGGCAGCAGUAGGGAAUCUUCCGCAAUGGGCGAAAGUCUGACGGAGCAACGCCGCGUGAGUGACGAAGGUUUUCGGAUCGUAAAACUCUGUUGUGAGGGAAGAACAAGUACCACUUAACUACUGGUACCUUGACGGUACCUCACCAGAAAGCCACGGCUAACUACGUGCCAGCCGCCGCCGUAA